CGGCGGAUGGGUGAGUAACACGUGGGCAACCUGCCUGUAAGCUUGGGAUAACUCGUGGAAACGCGAGCUAAUACCGAAUAAAAAGUUUGUUCGCAUGAACAGACGAUGAAAGACGGCUUUUGCUGUCACUUACAGAUGGGCCCGCGUCGCAUUAGCUAGUUGGUGGGGUAAAAGCUCACCAAAGCAACGAUGCGUAGCCGACCUGAGAGGGUGAUCGGCCACACUGGGACUGAGACACGGCCCAGACUCCUACGGGAGGCAGCAGUAGGGAAUCUUCCGCAAUGGACGAAAGUCUGACGGAGCGACGCCGCGUGAGUGAUGAAGGUCUUCGGAUCGUAAAACUCUGUUGUCGGGGAAGAACAAGUAUCGGCCUAACACGCCGGUACCUUGACGGUACCUGAUUAGAAAGCCCCGGCUAACUACGUGCCAGCAGCCGCGGUAAUACGUAGGGGGCGAGCGUUGUCCGGAAUUAUUGGGCGUA
Molecule: ribosomal RNA, 481 nt
Filed under: uncultured bacterium
Lineage: Bacteria
Description: bacterial SSU rRNA
Rfam family: Bacterial small subunit ribosomal RNA
Source: RNAcentral